AUUGAACGCUGGCGGCAGGCCUAACACAUGCAAGUCGAGCGGAGCGGCGGACGGGUGAGUGAUGCCUAGGAAUCUGACAGGUAGUGAGGGAUAAGGUCCGGAAACGGGAGCUAUGACCGCAUACUAUUACAGUCGCCUAUGUCGGAUUGGCUAGUUGGUGGGGUAGAGGCCUACAAAGACGACGAUCCGUAUCUGGUCUGAGAGGAUGAUCAGUCACACUGAAACUGAGACACGUUCCAGACUCCUACGGUAGGCAGCAGUGGGGAAUAUUUCACAAUGGGCGAAAGCCUGAUGCAGCCAUGCCGCGUGUGUGAAGAAGGCCUUCGGUUUGUAAAGCACUGUCAGUUGGGAGGCGUUACCCGCAGAAGAAGCACCGGCUAACUCCGUGCCAGCAGCCGCGGUAAUUC
This 407-nucleotide ribosomal RNA is filed under the name uncultured bacterium. Its description in RNAcentral is "partial 16S ribosomal RNA". It matches the Rfam family "Bacterial small subunit ribosomal RNA", at positions 30 to 526 of the family's 1533-position model. The record is from RNAcentral.